RNAcentral lists this ribosomal RNA (253 nucleotides) under uncultured bacterium. Its description in RNAcentral is "partial 16S ribosomal RNA". It matches the Rfam family "Bacterial small subunit ribosomal RNA", at positions 524 to 776 of the family's 1533-position model. The record is from RNAcentral.
UACGUAGGGAGCGAGCGUUGUCCGGAUUUACUGGGUGUAAAGGGUGCGUAGGCGGGCUUGCAAGUCAGAAGUGAAAUCUAUGGGCUUAACCCAUAAACUGCUUUUGAAACUGUGAGUCUUGAGUGAAGUAGAGGUAGGCGGAAUUCCCGGUGUAGCGGUGAAAUGCGUAGAGAUCGGGAGGAACACCAGUGGCGAAGGCGGCCUACUGGGCUUUAACUGACGCUGAGGCACGAAAGCAUGGGUAGCAAACAGG